GUGUAGCAGUGAUUGACAGGAGAGAACCUACUUAGAAUUUCUGGCAUCUUGGAGAAGGGUUGGUCUGGGAGUUAAACUGCCAGCCCAAGGGGAGUUGCUCCUGAACUCUGAGGAGAGAGGCAACUCUGAGACCCUUACUCCAUCAUUUGGAAGUGAAACCCACUCUUGCCUCCUAAGGAACCGAAGAUCUGCAGAAUCCAGAAAUCUUUCCCGUCACACUGAGAAGAACAAGACCAAUGAGGGAGCUGAUUUGUACUGUUUAGUUUACCUAGAAGUCUGGCUAAUCCAUGAAGAUUGUGACCAGGACCCUCAAAUUUCUGUGAAACCGUCCUUUCCUUUCUUUCAUUAUUACCUCCUCAAGUCAGUCUUUUAAGCAUCUAACUCAGCAGUUCAAGACACAGCUGCAAGAUCAGGAAAUGAGAUCAAAAAGUAGCACAGCCUCAACCUGAAUAGUGCCAAAAAAAGAACACAGAUAAAAAGAAAGAAACCAAUCCAGGUAGGAUUGAUGCAAUUCUAAGCCAUUACAAAAGUACUUGAACCUAGUGUGAGACUUCAGAAUG
This 560-nucleotide long non-coding RNA is filed under the name Monodelphis domestica (gray short-tailed opossum). RNAcentral describes it as "lncRNA (ENSMODG00000041475.1)". The record is from RNAcentral. Lineage: Eukaryota; Metazoa; Chordata; Mammalia; Didelphimorphia; Didelphidae.